Molecule: long non-coding RNA, 1018 nt
Filed under: Homo sapiens (human)
Lineage: Eukaryota; Metazoa; Chordata; Mammalia; Primates; Hominidae
Description: HSALNT0366402
Source: RNAcentral
UAUUUUUAAAGAAAUUGACAUACUGCUUCUAAGACUUAUCUGGAAAUGCAAACAAUCUAGAAUAGCUAGAAAAUUUUAGAAAAGAAGAGCCAAGUUGGAAAAUGUAUUCCUCCUGACUUUAGUAUUUACUAUAAAGCCACAGUAAUCAAAACAAUGCGGUUCUUGGUAAGGAGAGACAAUAGAUCAAUGGAAUAGAAUAGAGUCCAGAAAUAAACUCAUGCAUAGAUGGUCAACUGAUUUUUGGCCAAAACACCAAUUCAAUUCAGUGUAGAAAAUAAAAUUUGUUAGCAGGUUCUGCUAGAACAACUGAAUACUGUAUUGGAAAAAAAAUGACCCUCAAUCUCUACCUUAUGCUAUACAGGCAAAAAUUAAUUCAAGAUGGAUCAUAACGUAAACAUGAAAUUCAGAACCAUAAACACUCUAGAAGAUGGAAGAUAUCUUCCUGACCUUGGGGUGAAAAACCUGAGGCAUGAUGACUUAUUCCAGUUGGCACAGCUAGCAAAUGGGUCAGACAGCACUCCAACCACCACACUGCCCUCUGGUCCGUCCCUGCUACCUCUGGCUAUUUUAGGAGGGCCACAUGGUGCCCCAGAAAGAGCACCCAAGCCAGAACCUCUCUGAGAUGUAGGGCCUGGUGUUCCAGCCACACACUUUCUGUCUGUGUAACUCGGGGAGCUCUCUCUGGGAAACUGCCCCUUGCUUCACCCACUCCUGGCCUCCUGCUGUGCCAUUUCCAGGAAAGAAGCUACCAUGACCUCCUUCAUUGUUCAAGAACCCCAAGUUCUUGGGUCCAGCCUAAACCGUUCCUGGGACUGGAUGAAAAAUAUGUCUGUGGGCUCUGUUUUCCAUGACUGUAGGUAUGACUGGCCCUCUCCUUUCAGUGAAGAAGCCCUUUGUUGACCAGAGAGAAAGGGGCUGCAGUGGCCAACCCUUCCCUUCGGACUCAGCACUUCCUUGCUUAGUCUGAAAGGUCUUCAGUGCUUUGUCCCCUUUCCUUGAAGUUAGAAAGCAGCACAGA